UUUCCAUUGAUAGAGGUAGUUUUCACUAGUCCAAACAAAUCAAUAUGCAAAAUUUCGAACAGUCUAGAGGUAGAAAUAACAAUUUUCGCUUUGAAAGAUGUUUUAGAAAACUUGCCUUUUUGAUAUGCUUUACAAAGAGCAUCUGAAGAGAACUACGGGUUGGGUAAGCUGUAGCGGGGUAUUCGUUACCAUUAGAGAUA
RNAcentral lists this long non-coding RNA (200 nucleotides) under Lathyrus oleraceus (garden pea). RNAcentral's name for it is "Pisum sativum (pea) long non-coding RNA (PSAT_LNC033576)". Lineage: Eukaryota; Viridiplantae; Streptophyta; Magnoliopsida; Fabales; Fabaceae. The record is from RNAcentral.